RNAcentral lists this long non-coding RNA (2998 nucleotides) under Sus scrofa (pig). Its description in RNAcentral is "lncRNA (ENSSSCG00065073066.1)". Lineage: Eukaryota; Metazoa; Chordata; Mammalia; Artiodactyla; Suidae. The record is from RNAcentral.
UUUUUCUCUUUUUAGUGCCACACCUGUGGCAUAUAGAAGUUCCCAAGCUAGGUGUUGCAGAGGUCGAAUUGGAGCUACCGCUGCCUGCCUAUGCCAUAUCUACAGCAACAACCUAUGCCAGAGCUCAUGGCAACUCCAGAUCAUUGACCCAGUGGGCGAGGCCAGGGAUUGAACCUGCAUUCUCAUGGAUCCUAGCUGGGUUCAUUUCUCCUGAGCCACAGCAAGAACUCCCUACAAUAGAUUUCUUAGUGGAAACAAUAGGAGCCAGAAGACAAUGAGAUUUUUCAGCAGGCUGAAAGAAAAUAGCCACCAACUUAUUUUUCAAUACCCAUAAGAAAAUAUUCAAGUGAAAAUGAAAUAAAUAUAUACUGAGACUAAUAAAAAUUGCAAGAAUUAAUCACCAGUAAGCUCAUAUUAAUAGGAUAUUUUUAGGCAGAAGGAAAUAAUCCCAAAUGGAAGAUCAAAGAUACAGGCAGGAAUGAAGACCAAUGAAAAUGGUAACUAUAUGGAUAACUAUCAAAUAACAUUGGCUGUGUAGGAAACCAACAAUAUAAUUGUGUUUGAGGGGAGUUAAGGCCCUAAAGUCCUUGCCUACAUUUCGGGAAGGGAAGAUGGUAAAAGAAUCAAAUGUGAGGAUUUGUUAAGAAUGCAUUCUGUAGGAGUUCCUGUCAAACAGCUCUCAUGUCCCUGCUCUUUAAUGUUUAUGGACCCACAUUUUUUCCUGCUGAAAUCCUUUCCAUUUAAAAAUAUUGUACAUAUUGGAGUCCUUCUGGCCCCAAAGCACAACUCUCUUCUCGUAGCUCAGGUCUCCACUGAAAUGUCACCUCAUCACAGAGACAUUCUUGGGUGAUCCCAUCUAAGCAGCCCCACCCACCCAGUACUCUCCACUCCAAUGGUUGUCUCAUCAUGACCUGAACUUUAUUCGUUUGUGACUUGUCCCCCUGUCCCUCCCUCUCUAGAAUGUGAGCACCACGAGGGCAGAGACCUAGGUUGACUCUUCUAUUCCUGGAGCCCCCAGUAGCCAGAGCUGCGCCUGGCACAUAGCAGCGAUCCAGGACUUUCCAAGGCUAAGGCUGUGAAGUCUCUAGGGGACAAAUGCCAGUCUGUGUGUGUGUGCAUGUGACAGAGGAUGGGGAGGUAGGCUGCGGGAGACUUCAACAUCUCCCUGAGGGAAAUUGGGAACAAUGGCCUCUCCAGGGCCAUCUAGAUGUGUAAACAAGGGCGUGACACCUUCUUUGCCAGGUGUCCCCUGAGCACAGUCCCUCCUUCCGCCUGGAGGGACUGGGCUGCUUUUGCUGCUCCCUGACCUUAGAGGGACCCUCCCCGCUGCACUAGGCUGGGACCCCACACCCAGGCCUGCCUCUUAACGGUGCCAUUUUUUUCCUUGUGUGGCACCAGGUUCUCACUCUUGCCUUCCUGUCACCAGAGCCUGAUGGGCCCCCUCCCACUUGUAUUCUCCACCACAUCCUCAAGCUUCCAGUUUUAGGGGUGCCGUGAGGUUCCCCGUGUCUCCUGUAGCAGGGUAUGCUACCUCACUGGGGCUCCCUGGUGCUCAGCCCCCAUCCCGGCCACUCCAGCCCUUGUCCUGGGCACGGCGAGAGGGAUUCCAAAGAAAGGCUGCCAGAGGCUCCCACAGGUACCCGCUGCCCGUCCCGCCAGGCAAGGGCACUCAGCCCCCACUUGUCCCCCCUCCCUUCAGCUGAGGGGGCCCAGCGCCCAACAAGCCUGCUUGACUUCUGGCUCAGGUGAGCAGAGAGGCACGGAGGCUUCACACGGAUCCAGGCCUCUGCCCAGCCUCAGUGGAACAACCCUGUGUUGAAAGGACUUCCUCUACCACCAGCUCCUGCCACCCCGACUCCGUGACCCCUUGGCUGUGCUCCCUGUACACCCAAGUGGCCCACAGUCACUGUCACAUCCUCAGAGGGGUCAGCAGCCCGCGGUUCCAGAGUUCCCGGCUCUGGCAGGGCCCCUGAGUGUUUGCACAGGGGAUUUCAGGGUUCAGAGGCUGGUUAAGUACGUGCUCUCCAGAGGGCCCUGGAGCGAUCUCUAUGCACACGUGUGUCUGCGCACGCACGCGUGUGUGACGGAUUCAACACGGGGCCUCUGGGCCCCACUUCUAAUUUCACCAUAGAAGCCCCAGGUUUUCCUGUGUUACCAGUGGAGACGCCACCUAAGUUACUUUUUAAAUAAAAGGAUCGAUUAUUUUUUUAAAAAGAAAGAUUUGCAAACCACGGAGACAGAACUCAUUUUACACGUGGGGAAACCGAGGCCCAGAGAGCAAAUGGCUUCUCAAGGUCACUGUGGGAUCGGUGGCUGAGCUGCACCAUACCAGGCUGCCUGGCUCAUAGGCUGAUGUUUUUGCCAAGACCAGGCCUAAAUGUCCCUCUCAGGAGGUGGCAGGUGGGGGCGGAGUGCCAGGAAGGCCUCGUCCAGAGAAGGUUAAGGUCAAAGCCUCCCCAUCCCAUGGGCCCCCAUGAAGUGCCCGGGAGAACAGUAGCAUCGGAAAGGUCAUUCAGUUCCUAACUGGAGGCUCAAAGACUGGGAGUGGAAAGGGGCGGGAUGAGGGAGGCGGAGGCGGGGGGGGGGGGGGUGGGGGUUCAUCCUUCGGGUCUCUCGCACCCCCUCCCCUGAUGAAAACCCCAAAUGCCCUCCUGUCAUUUCGAGACUGCCUCUCCCAUUACCUGGUGGUCACUCUGAGAGUUCACCGCAGGAGGAAAAGCCUGCUCCACAGGCAGCCCCCACCCCUGCCCCCCCAUCUGCUCAAGGCAGCCCCCCCACCCCCCCGCCCCCCAGCACCUGACUUCCAAGCAAAAGGAGCCAGUGGUAGGCUUCCAGGGGGCCCGGGGGCCCUGAGGUGAUGACGUCUGCAUGGGAGGGCUGUGGAGGAGGAGGUGGGCUUUCCAUCUCAGGAGUCUUGUGGACACCCCCCUCCUCGCAACAGCAGAAACGGCACAGCAGAGGGCUCUGUGGCACCCGCUGGGUCUCCUCCCAGUGUCCC